Oryzias melastigma (Indian medaka) is the source of this 3108-nucleotide long non-coding RNA. RefSeq lists it as uncharacterized. Lineage: Eukaryota; Metazoa; Chordata; Actinopteri; Beloniformes; Adrianichthyidae. The record is from RefSeq and is a predicted model, not a curated record. The transcript has 3 exons.
ACAUUUAAAAUAGUUGCCCCCCCCCCCAUUUAUUUUAUUUUAAGUCUUAAACGAUUAGUAAAACUAGUCUUAUACAUAUUUGAAUAUAUUCUGUGUUAAAAAAGGUCUUUUCUUUAGUACUUAGUUUCACCAGCAGAGGGCGCUUGACACUUUGCCCAUCAGUAGUUGACACCGGAAGGAGGAGCUCAGUCAACUACGUGAUGAGCGAGUCAGCAGAACGUGACCAAGCGCGCAACAGUUAUUGAUUGUUUUAUUGUUUAUUUUCCAGUCAGGCAACUCAGACACCUUCUGGACUGCCUCGGCGUGAGCCUAUCUGGAUCAGGAGAGAUGGGACUGCCUGCCAACCAGCAUAACAAGCAGAAAUACCAACAUGGAAGAUUUCAGGCCAGAUGAGGGUCAAAACAGGAUCAGGCAAGCAGAGCAGGUCUUGAAUCAACAGGAGAGCUGCAGAGAAACAACAACUUUCUGGCAGGGAGGUAAUGAUAGGUAGAGCAAUAAACUGGCAGGUGAACAGGUGCAUGAUGAGGGUGAUCGCUGGGGAGGGCAGAGCAGACACAGAGAGGGGCAGAAUCCUGGAAGGUUGGAAUAUAAAUUUAUGCCUCCCCUACCUGUAUAGGGUAAGAUGAGUGUCAAAAUGAAACAGGCAUUUAGACAAAGUUGUGUGCAAAGUAUUACUUGAAUACAACAUUACAGUUUCUGUCUGUUGUGAAAAUGAUCUGCAUUUGUUUUGACUACAACUUUUCUUUGUCUCGAAUGAGAAAUUUCCCGUUCAAUUUCUGUCAACGGAGUUACAGGCAUAUAAAUCGAGUCAUGAAACAGCAAAGUCCACAUGGACAUUUAGGUUAAACUGAGCGGUCCGGUCUGGUCUGACAAACAGUAGUACAGUACGGACCAGUUUUCACUCAAUUAAGCCUCCACUUCCACUUAGCCUUUUGUUUUCACUGCACAUGUGUGGUGUAGACCACUAGCGUGUUGCGUCACUGUAGUACGAUGACUAGAAAAGCCACAACAAAAGAGGUUAUCCAGCAGUUUGUUUGUUUCUUGCUUCACUUUUUGUACAUUGUGUUUAACAGUAGUUUAAAGUUGUUUGAAUGAAGAUUGCAGGCGAUUAAGAAGAAUACCACCUUAAAGAGGAAUACGAAAAUGCUAGCUUAGCGCUAUAUUGGUGCUUUCUAAUGUCGUCAUCACUUUCUGCCAAUCAACGGAUGACUACAGUGACUCCGCUCCAACCGUCCCAUUCCAUUUUUCUAUGUCUAUGGAACUACAACAGAUGGGGCUCUCAAGUGGUACGGGUCAGAACUGUUUAACGAGUCCAAGUUACAAUGGAAAUGCCGUACCGUACUGUACCAUACCGGACUGCUCAGUGGAAACGAGGUUUUGGUGAUCCCACAACGGAGAAAUUAACUUGUGACCAAAGCUCAAUUGGAAAAAUAAAACAGAUAAUAUUAACGUUGAUCUCCAGUCGCUUCUCCAGUGGUAUUUUGUUGUUGCCAAGCGACAGCAGCUGAUUGUGCAUGUAAACAAUGCACCUGCCGACUGUUUCAGAUCCAGAAGUGAUGAAAAAUAGUAAAAUAGAAACAGACAUGACACUACUUUAACAAGGCGCAAAAAUGACAAUGCCUGUCAAAAGAAAAGAGUUAAAAACAUAUAAAUAAACAAAAAACAUGUAAGCUAACUUGGUCACAGCAUGGACAAAGUAUCGAACUUUUUUUAAAUUAUUUUUUACUGGCACAUGGCAAGAGUUAUUUUGUUUUUAACUAUAUCUACACACCUCUAAAUGCAUUUUGGCUCUGUAUUGUUGUUGAGAAACUACAUCGUCUCUUUUUUAUUACAUCACUGCUGUAAUGUGGAUGUAAGUGAGAAUUGUCAGAAUAACCAUUCUUGCUCUAGUUUUUGCUAAUCCUACUUUUUUCGUUAUAAUUCUCUGUAAUGGAAGGUAUUCAAGUUAUAAACUGGCCAAUCAAAUGUCUCAUUAGAAGCGUUUGACAGAUUCUCCUGCUUUUAAGCGUGUGGGUGUCGACUUUCAACAAGCUCACUUCUGAUUGGUGGAAGGUGGUUGCCCUCAAAAACUAGACUCAAACCCAUCACUGCUUACUGAGAAUUUUAGGCGACAUCCAAAUUGAGGAAAAAGGCAACUAAAUUGACUUUAUUUCAUUGAAGCCAGAGACAAGUCAUAUUCUAUGGGUGACAACACACUCACUCAGUCCAGUUUUCAUGUACAGUCAAUGGUUGUGACCAAUGAUCUACAUUAACAAAACACUGAUUAAGUAAUGCUAGAAAAUAAAAAUACUAAAAUCAUUUAUAAAACACAUAAACUGUUCAUCAGUGCCUGAUUAUUGUACGUCUUUAACCCUGACGUUCUCUCUAGAUGUGUCAGUCCGGACGCUCACUGUGUUGAAAUGAGGAUUUGUAACGCAACCCUGGAAUGUAUUUUUGACAUAAAUUUAAUUCAAGACAAAUACAUUUUUCUUUCAAAACAGACAUGUCAAACAUAAAAACCAAAUGUUGUCCAACUUUGUCUAUGAGCAUAUAUUUAAUUUUGUCAGUAAAAUUAUGCCGUAUACCUGCUUCGCACAUUUCUUGUGGGUUUGCAUGAAACAUUUGAAACAAACUACAGCAUAAUCGAGUCAUGAGGUGAUGCAUCUAUAACAAUAAGCACCUCUACUUAGCCCAGGUGUAUAAAUUACCAAAAGUUGAGGUAAAGACGCCUCAUGAGCAGGACGAAAGUUAUAAUUUCUUCUUUCUAAAUUAAUUCUAUUGGCUAAUCACGUAAACACACUUCUGUUGCUCUCAAUGAGUUCAAUCAUUAAUGCAAUAAAAACUGCAACUGGACACGCAGCGGUAAUAAAUAAGAGGUAUCGCAAAUUGCCAGCAGGUGCACUGUAGCUGGGUGUUAUUGAUGCUUCUGUUUUCCUGUAGUCUACAUGAUACACGGCUUCUAUCGUUUGCAUUACUCUCUCCGUUCAAUUACUUCAACUUUAAAGGUUGCAAAUACUUUUUAAGGUCAUUUAUUUACCAAUUAACCAAUCACAGUGUUUUUGCAUUACUAGGCUAUUACACAAAGCUGCUUGGUAAACAUGUGAUCAUAAAUUUCUUUUUUUUUUUUAU